GUCACUUUACCGCAGUGGUCUAACGCGAUCACCUGCUAGUUUGCUCUUUCAGUGUAUCCAGUGCUCAGCGUUCGAAUCGCAGAGGUGACG
This is a non-coding RNA of Gymnopus androsaceus JB14, 90 nucleotides long. NCBI's taxonomy places the organism in Eukaryota, Fungi, Basidiomycota, Agaricomycetes, Agaricales, Omphalotaceae. The record is from the annotation of a GenBank genome assembly.